UGAGGAAUAUUGGUCAAUGGACGCAAGUCUGAACCAGCCAAGUAGCGUGCAGGAUGACGGCCCUAUGGGUUGUAAACUGCUUUUAUAUGGGGAUAAAGUGGGGAACGUGUUCCCUUUUGCAGGUACCAUAUGAAUAAGGACCGGCUAAUUCCGUGCCAGCAGCCGCGGUAAUACGGAAGGUUCGGGCGUUAUCCGGAUUUAUUGGGCGUAAAGGGUACGUAGGCGGUCUAUUAAGUCAGGUGUGAAAGCGUGAGGCUUAACCUCAUUAAGCACUUGAAACUGAUAGACUUGAGUGAAGGAGAGGAAAGUGGAAUUCCUAGUGUAGCGGUGAAAUGCGUAGAUAUUAGGAGGAAUACCGGUGGCGAAGGCGACUUUCUGGACUUUUACUGACGCUCAGGUACGAAAGCGUGGGGAGCAAACAGG
Molecule: ribosomal RNA, 423 nt
Filed under: Verrucomicrobiota bacterium
Lineage: Bacteria; Pseudomonadati; Verrucomicrobiota
Description: Verrucomicrobia bacterium partial 16S ribosomal RNA
Rfam family: Bacterial small subunit ribosomal RNA
Source: RNAcentral